CCGAAUUCGUCGACAACAGAGUUUGAUCCUGGCUCAGGACGAACGCUGGCGGCGUGCCUAAUACAUGCAAGUCGAGCGGAACCAUUGGAGCUUGCUCCUUUGGUUUAGCGGCGGACGGGUGAGUAACACGUGGGCAACCUGCCCUGCAGAUCGGGAUAACUCCGGGAAACCGGUGCUAAUACCGAAUAGUUUGCGGCCUCUCAUGAGGCUGUACGGAAAGACGGUUUCGGCUGUCACUGCAGGAUGGGCCCGCGGCGCAUUAGCUAGUUGGUGGGGUAACGGCCCACCAAGGCGACGAUGCGUAGCCGACCUGAGAGGGUGAUCGGCCACACUGGGACUGAGACACGGCCCAGACUCCUACGGGGGGCAGCAGUAGGGAAUCUUCCGCAAUGGACGAAAGUCUGACGGAGCAACGCCGCGUGAGUGAAGAAGGUUUUCGGAUCGUAAAACUCUGUUGUGAGGGAAGAACAAGUACCAAGUAACUACUGGUACCUUGACGGUACCUCACCAGAAAGCCACGGCUAACUACGUGCCAGCAGCCGCGGUAAUACGUAGGUGGCAAGCGUUGUCCGGAAUUAUUGGGCGUAAAGCGCGCGCAGGCGGUCCUUUAAGUCUGAUGUGAAAGCCCACGGCUCAACCGUGGAGGGUCAUUGGAAACUGGGGGACUUGAGUGCAGAAGAGGAAAGUGGAAUUCCACGUGU
This 701-nucleotide ribosomal RNA is filed under the name Planococcus sp. 'Mali 16'. RNAcentral's name for it is "partial 16S ribosomal RNA". It matches the Rfam family "Bacterial small subunit ribosomal RNA", at positions 1 to 676 of the family's 1533-position model. The record is from RNAcentral. Lineage: Bacteria; Bacillati; Bacillota; Bacilli; Caryophanales; Caryophanaceae.